GCGAACGGGUGAGUAACGCGUGAGUAACCUGCCCUAGAGUGGGGGACAACAGUUGGAAACGACUGCUAAUACCGCAUAAGCCCACGGUGCCGCAUGACACUGAGGGAAAAGGAUUUAUUCGCUUUAGGAUGGACUCGCGUCCAAUUAGCUAGUUGGUGAGGUAACGGCCCACCAAGGCGACGAUUGGUAGCCGGACUGAGAGGUUGAACGGCCACAUUGGGACUGAGACACGGCCCAGACUCCUACGGGAGGCAGCAGUGGGGGAUAUUGCACAAUGGGGGAAACCCUGAUGCAGCGACGCCGCGUGGAGGAAGAAGGUUUUCGGAUUGUAAACUCCUGUCGUUAGGGACGAUAAUGACGGUACCUAACAAGAAAGCACCGGCUAACUACGUGCCAGCAGCCGCGGUAAAACGUAGGGUGCAAGCGUUGUCCGGAAUUACUGGGUGUAAAGGGAGCGCAGGCGGGAAGACAAGUUGGAAGUGAAAACCAUGGGCUCAACCCAUGAAUUGCUUUCAAAACUGUUUUUCUUGAGUAGUGCAGAGGUAGAUGGAAUUCCCGGUGUAGCGGUGGAAUGCGUAGAUAUCGGGAGGAACACCAGUGGCGAAGGCGGUCUACUGGGCACUAACUGACGCUGAGGCUCGAAAGCAUGGGUAGCAAACAGGAUUAGAU
This 669-nucleotide ribosomal RNA is filed under the name uncultured bacterium. RNAcentral's name for it is "bacterial SSU rRNA". It matches the Rfam family "Bacterial small subunit ribosomal RNA", at positions 98 to 783 of the family's 1533-position model. The record is from RNAcentral.